This 253-nucleotide ribosomal RNA is filed under the name uncultured bacterium. RNAcentral's name for it is "partial 16S ribosomal RNA". It matches the Rfam family "Bacterial small subunit ribosomal RNA", at positions 524 to 776 of the family's 1533-position model. The record is from RNAcentral.
UACGUAGGCAGCAAGCGUUGUUCGGAAUUACUGGGCGUAAAGGGUGUGUAGGCGGUUUGGCAAGUCUGGUGUGAAAUCUCCCGGCUUAACUGGGAGGGUGCGCUAGAAACUGCCAAGCUAGAGUGUGGGAGAGGAAAGUGGAAUUCCUGGUGUAGCGGUGAAAUGCGUAGAUAUCAGGAGGAACACCUGCGGUGUAGACGGCUUUCUGGACCACUACUGACGCUGAAACACGAAAGCGUGGGGAGCAAACAGG